RNAcentral lists this ribosomal RNA (458 nucleotides) under uncultured bacterium. RNAcentral's name for it is "bacterial SSU rRNA". It matches the Rfam family "Bacterial small subunit ribosomal RNA", at positions 29 to 524 of the family's 1533-position model. The record is from RNAcentral.
AACGAACGCUGGCGGCAGGCCUAAAACAUGCAAGUCGAGCGGGCAUAGCAAUAUGUCAGCGGCGGACGGGUGAAUAACACGUGGGAACAUGCCCUUUGGUACGGAACAACUCAGGGAAACUUGAGCUAAUACCGUAUGUGCCGGUAACGGGAAAGAUUUAUCGCCAAAGGAUUGGCCCGCGUCCGAUUAGCUAGUUGGUGAGGUAACGGCUCACCAAGGCGACGAUCGGUAGCUGGUUUGAGAGAACGAUCAGCCACACUGGGACUGAGACACGGCCCAGACUCCUACGGGAGGCAGCAGUUGGGAAUCUUGGACAAUGGGGGAAACCCUGAUCCAGCCAUGCCGCGUGAGCGAUGAAGGCCCUCGGGUUCGUAAACCCCUUUCGGCAGGGACGAAGCGAACGUGACGGUACCUGCAGAAGAAGUCCCGGNUAACUACGUGCCAGCAGCCGCCGUAAG